Molecule: long non-coding RNA, 524 nt
Filed under: Homo sapiens (human)
Lineage: Eukaryota; Metazoa; Chordata; Mammalia; Primates; Hominidae
Description: novel transcript
Source: RNAcentral
AGAAGAGUCAACACAGCUCAGAGAUUGACAGUGACUGCUCUGCUUUUGUGAUACCAGCGACAGAACUCUGCAAACAUCUCUGCUUCGCAGCUGGCAUCCUGUUGGAUUUUUCCAGUAGAGGGAAGCUUCCAUGCUGCAGGAAGAAGGGGCGUGCUCCUUCCCGUUCCUGUCAGCACUGCUGCAGCAGUUUGCUCUCACAGCUGCAUGUGAUCCCAGCUGCCAUUUCUGACCUGCUCAGAACCAGCUUCAUGAUGGGCUCAAAGACCCAGGACCAGGUGCUCUUGUGACUUCUCUGACUUCAGUCCUUCUGGAGUCAGAUCACCCAGCUUCUCUGAUGAGUGACUGGUCAUUUUUAAAGCAUGCCUGCAGCAGUCUUCAAGAGGUUUCUGCCUGGGCAUCACAAUCAGCACACAUUUGCUCAUACACAUACCAGCUCUGGCAUGUACACGUGGCCACGGUACCCUUCGUACAACACGGGAAGAGAACAACAGGACGCCCAAGAGGCAUCUGGACAGCACACAGCA